UACGUAGGCAGCGAGCGUUGUUCGGAGUUACUGGGCGUAAAGCGUGCGUAGGCGGUAGUCCAAGUCUGGUGUGAAAUCUCCCGGCUUAACCGGGAGGGUGCGCCGGAAACUGGGCUGCUGGAGUGCGGGAGAGGCAAGCGGAAUUCCUGGUGUAGCGGUGAAAUGCGUAGAUAUCGGGAGGAACACCAGUGGCGAAGGCGAGUCCCUGGACAAUUCCUGACGCUGAGGCACGAAAGCUAGGGGAGCAAACAGG
This 253-nucleotide ribosomal RNA is filed under the name uncultured bacterium. RNAcentral describes it as "partial 16S ribosomal RNA". It matches the Rfam family "Bacterial small subunit ribosomal RNA", at positions 524 to 776 of the family's 1533-position model. The record is from RNAcentral.